GAUGAACGCUGGCGGUAUGCUUAACACAUGCAAGUCGAACGGUCACAUCGGUGAUAGUGGCGUCCGGGUGAGUAACGCGUGAGAAUCGUUCUUCAUGUCGGGGACAACAGUUAGAAAUGACUGCUAAUACCGGAUGUGCCUUUGUAUGAAAGAUUUAUUGCCUGAAAAAGAGCUCGCGUCAGAUUAGCUAGUAGGUGGUGUAAGAGACUACCUAGGCUCCGAUCUGUAGCUGGUCUGAGAGAACGAUCAGCCACACUGGAGCUGAGACACGGUCCAGAAUCCUACGGGAGGCAGCAGUGCGUAAUGGUCCGCCAUGGGCGAAGGGCUGACGGAGCACUACCGCGUGAGCGAUGAAAUCUGGUGGGUCGUAAACCGCAAUUAUCAAGGAAGAUCAUGACGGUACUUGAGCAAUAAGCAUCGGCUAACUCUGUG
Molecule: ribosomal RNA, 432 nt
Filed under: uncultured bacterium
Lineage: Bacteria
Description: partial 16S ribosomal RNA
Rfam family: Bacterial small subunit ribosomal RNA
Source: RNAcentral